CAUUUGGUUUGCACAUGUCCUACUCAGACACAGGUCCAACUUCCUCAGUCCUUAACGCAAUAGAGGGAGAAUUAAGGACUGGCAGUGUUGAGGUGAUUGGUGUGACAGGGGUUAAACUGGGAAAACAUUGGGUAAUUCCUCAGUUUCUUUGUCAAACUGACCCAAACCUGUGCUAGGAAGAGAUGGAGUGGAAAAGUUGAGGCAGAAAUGAAAUGGAAAACUGGGGUUAUUGACACUGUAAUUGCUGAAACUAAAUGUGUCCAAGCAGCAGCUCUUGUUGUGCAGGGAAUAACUCCUGUCAGCAGCAAGGUCCCGACUGAAGUGGCAGCUGCAGUUGUUCCUGGUGUGUGGGCCAGUGGAAUUGCAGGAGAGUGGAAGAGGGCAGAACCUGUAGGUAUUACCCCUAAUGUGGGAUCUCUCCUGGACGUGAAUGCAAGAACCUGCCAAGAAAACCAAUGGCCAAGAUGAUUGAUGAGUGCAGGACCUGAGAGAACCACCUUGAAUGACAACCUCGAGCAGUUUCCAGUAUUGGAUUGAAAAGAUGGCCUUUGCUGCAUCUCCUGGAGCAAGGAAAGCCAAGAAAGCUUUGCUUUGGAAGGAGAAAAUCUGGAAAGCUGGAAGGAAGAAGAGAAGCCACGUGACUCCUCCCUGAGCCCCAGACAGCCCCUGAACUGCCUUCCUGGGAAUGGUGGGACGGGCUGGACUCUGGAAUGCUCCCUCUGCAUGUGUGGCUCUCCCCUGCGGGAACUCCAGGAACUCCUGGUGCCGCCUGGGCCGAUGGAUUGGACGCCCCAGCCCCUCCGUUCCUGCCCAGCCCCUGGGGCCGUGUCGAGUGGUGGCACUGCCAGCCCCUGCAGGUGAGGGGGAAAGGGCCUUUGCAGGUCUUGGGGAUCACAUUUAUAGCAGUGGGAUGUAGCCUGGAAACUGCACUGAGCUGAGCCAAGGGAUUUAAAGGGACCAAGCAAGGGAGGUGAAGAAAGAAGGAAGAAGGGAAGUGAGGCAGCAGCCAAGCAGCACCAAGUUCCUGUGU
This is a long non-coding RNA of Corapipo altera (White-ruffed manakin), 1030 nucleotides long. RefSeq lists it as uncharacterized. NCBI's taxonomy places the organism in Eukaryota, Metazoa, Chordata, Aves, Passeriformes, Pipridae. The transcript has 4 exons. The record is from RefSeq and is a predicted model, not a curated record.